This 450-nucleotide ribosomal RNA is filed under the name uncultured bacterium. RNAcentral describes it as "partial 16S ribosomal RNA". It matches the Rfam family "Bacterial small subunit ribosomal RNA", at positions 354 to 796 of the family's 1533-position model. The record is from RNAcentral.
GUGGGGAAUAUUGGACAAUGGGCGAAAGCCUGAUCCAGCCAUGCCGCGUGUGUGAAGAAGGUCUUCGGAUUGUAAAGCACUUUAAGUUGGGAGGAAGGGCAGUAAGUUAAUACCUUGCUGUUUUGACGUUACCGACAGAAUAAGCACCGGCUAACUUCGUGCCAGUAGCCGCGGUAAUACGAAGGGUGCAAGCGUUAAUCGGAAUUACUGGGCGUAAAGCGCGCGUAGGUGGUUUUGUAAGUUGGAGGUGAAAUCCCCGGGCUCAACCUGGGAACUGCCUCCAAAACUGCAUGACUAGAGUACGGUAGAGGGUAGUGGAAUUUCCUGUGUAGCGGUGAAAUGCGUAGAUAUAGGAAGGAACACCAGUGGCGAAGGCGACUACCUGGACUGAUACUGACACUGAGGUGCGAAAGCGUGGGGAGCAAACAGGAUUAGAAACCCUAGUAGUCC